RNAcentral lists this ribosomal RNA (558 nucleotides) under Curvularia geniculata. RNAcentral's name for it is "eukaryotic LSU rRNA". The stretch from base 192 to 345 matches the Rfam family "5.8S ribosomal RNA". The record is from RNAcentral. Lineage: Eukaryota; Fungi; Ascomycota; Dothideomycetes; Pleosporales; Pleosporaceae.
GGAGGGAUCAUUACACAAUAAACAUAUGAAGGCUGCACCGCCAACAGGCGGCAAGGCUGGAGUAUUUUAUUACCCUUGUCUUUUGCGCACUUGUUGUUUCCUGGGCGGGUUCGCCCGCCUCCAGGACCACAUGAUAAACCUUUUUUAUGCAGUUGCAAUCAGCGUCAGUACAACAAAUGUAAAUCAUUUACAACUUUCAACAACGGAUCUCUUGGUUCUGGCAUCGAUGAAGAACGCAGCGAAAUGCGAUACGUAGUGUGAAUUGCAGAAUUCAGUGAAUCAUCGAAUCUUUGAACGCACAUUGCGCCCUUUGGUAUUCCAAAGGGCAUGCCUGUUCGAGCGUCAUUUGUACCCUCAAGCUUUGCUUGGUGUUGGGCGUUUUUUGUCUUUGGUUUUGUCCAAAGACUCGCCUUAAAACGAUUGGCAGCCGGCCUACUGGUUUCGCAGCGCAGCACAUUUUUGCGCUUGCAAUCAGCAAAAGAGGACGGCACUCCAUCAAGACUCUAUAUCACUUUUGACCUCGGAUCAGGUAGGGAUACCCGCUGAACUUAAGCAUAU